AAUCAACGCUGGCGGCGUGCCUCAGACAUGCAAGUCGAACGAUUAAAGCUCUCUUCGGAGAGUGUAUAGAGUGGCGCACGGGUGAGUAACACGUAAGUAAUCUACCUUUGAGUGGGGAAUAACGUCCGGAAACGGACGCUAAUACCGCAUAAUGCAGCGGCAUCGCAAGAUGACAGUUGUUAAAGAUUUAUCGCUUGAAGAGGAGCUUGCGGCAGAUUAGCUAGUUGGUAAGGUAAUGGCUUACCAAGGCUACGAUCUGUAACCGGUCUAAGAGGACGGUCGGUCACACUGACACUGAAUAACGGGUCAGACUCCUACGGGAGGCAGCAGUCGGGAAUUUUGGGCAAUGGGGGAAACCCUGACCCAGCAACGCCGCGUGAAGGAUGAAGUCUUUC
Molecule: ribosomal RNA, 395 nt
Filed under: uncultured bacterium
Lineage: Bacteria
Description: bacterial SSU rRNA
Rfam family: Bacterial small subunit ribosomal RNA
Source: RNAcentral